AUUGAACGCUGGCGGCAGGCCUAACACAUGCAAGUCGAACGGUAACAGGAAGAAGCUUGCUUCUUUGCUGACGAGUGGCGGACGGGUGAGUAAUGUCUGGGAAACUGCCUGAUGGAGGGGGAUAACUACUGGAAACGGUAGCUAAUACCGCAUAACGUCGCCAGACCAAAGAGGGGGACCUUCGGGCCUCUUGCCAUCGGAUGUGCCCAGAUGGGAUUAGCUAGUAGGUGGGGUAACGGCUCACCUAGGCGACGAUCCCUAGCUGGUCUGAGAGGAUGACCAGCCACACUGGAACUGAGACACGGUCCAGACUCCUACGGGAGGCAGCAGUGGGGAAUAUUGCACAAUGGGCGCAAGCCUGAUGCAGCCAUGCCGCGUGUAUGAAGAAGGCCUUCGGGUUGUAAAGUACUUUCAGCGGGGAGGAAGGGAGUAAAGUUAAUACCUUGGCUCAUUGACGUUACCCGCAGAAGAAGCACCGGCUAACUCCGUG
This 490-nucleotide ribosomal RNA is filed under the name uncultured bacterium. RNAcentral's name for it is "partial 16S ribosomal RNA". It matches the Rfam family "Bacterial small subunit ribosomal RNA", at positions 30 to 507 of the family's 1533-position model. The record is from RNAcentral.